CGCGCAGGCGGCCUUUUAAGUUGGAUGUGAAAGCCUACAGCUCAACUGUAGAACUGCAUCCAAAACUAUCAGGCUAGAGUGUGGGAGAGGAAGAUGGAAUUAGUUGUGUAGGGGUAAAAUCCGUAGAGAUAACUAGGAAUACCAAAAGCGAAGGCAAUCUUCUGGAACAUUACUGACGCUGAGGCGCGAAAGCGUGGGGAGCAAACAGGAUUAGAUACCCUGGUAGUCC
Molecule: ribosomal RNA, 229 nt
Filed under: uncultured bacterium
Lineage: Bacteria
Description: partial 16S ribosomal RNA
Rfam family: Bacterial small subunit ribosomal RNA
Source: RNAcentral